Molecule: unclassified non-coding RNA, 1503 nt
Filed under: Hevea brasiliensis (rubber tree)
Lineage: Eukaryota; Viridiplantae; Streptophyta; Magnoliopsida; Malpighiales; Euphorbiaceae
Source: RNAcentral
CUUAGUUGAGUUGAGUUGAGUUAUUUCAAUUCAUUCCUAAGCUCUCCAAGGUGUCAAAGGAGUCAUUGAAAUCCAAAGAAGAUCUACAAAAAAGGUAAUUCUGAUCGGGCACCUUCACAUACUUCAAUUUUGUAUUUUCACAUGUUAUUAUUUUUCUCAAUUUUGAGCUUGUAGAUGAUCUCCUUUGCUUGUUUUUCUUGUUUUAUUUGAUUUGUUGUGUUGUUUACCUAUGAAGUAGCCUUUUGGAUCACUUAAAAAGCUACUUCUUACAAUUUUUAAUGAUUUUUCAAAGCUCUAGAUUUGUUCGAACUUGAUCUGGUCAUAUACCUGAUUUUGUAAAAUAUGUUUCUCUCUCAAAUCUUUGUUGUUUUAAUUCAUUCUUUUUUCUGGUGUUAGUCCUUUAUGUCUAGUUUAUUAUCAUAUUUUUCUUUUUGCAUAAUUCCUUACAGAUAAUUAGAAAUAAUUUUUUUUAAGUUUGCUACUCAAAUCUGUCUAUUUUACGGUAGCGGUAGAAGAUUUUAAUUUUCUGUAUUAAUUGAUACACGAGUUUAAGUGUUUCUUUUUUCUAUGUUUUAAUUCAGUGCCUUAGCUAACUCGUGGUAAAAAUUUAGGAAAUUUUAUGCAUGUUUGUUAUUUUUAGUAUUUUUUUUAUCUAUUGUCCAAAAUUGCACUUUCAGCAUUAAGUCAAGUUUUGCUAAUUUCUAUUGAUAAAAUAUGUGCACAUUUUUUGCCAUCUAAUUUUUUUUUUUAUAUAUAUGUUUUAGAUCAAUGUCUUAGGCAUUCCUGGAAAUUAUGGGAUGACCUUUUAUGGUGAUUUAGGUCAUGUGCAAAAUUUAUUUUGUUUAUUACUUUAAUCUGUUAUUUUUAGCAAUAAUUGUGUUUAAUGUAAAUUAGUUUUCUUUUGUUAUUUAAUUAUAUUCUAACAUGUUUUCUUGUGUUUUGCAUGAGUUUGGAGACCAAAGGGAAGUAGGAUUAAGAUGUAAAACUUAGAAUUUGGAAAAAGGGUGACAUGGUGCGCAAAUCAAUAUCAGACCCAAAGACUUGUUUUCCUAUUUUCACAAGGACUACAAGCUUUAGAUGGAUUCUUUAUUUUUUUAGAUAAAUUUUAUUUAUAUUUUCUAAUUUAUUUAGGAUUCAAAAAUAUUAUUCCUAUUCAAUUUAUGUCUUUAGAUAUGUUUCACAUUUAAAUUAGGACCCUUUAAUUCAUUCCUACUUAGAUUAGGAUUUAGAAUUCUAUAAAUACCCAUUGUAUUUUCAUUAUGUAUAUAUUUUCAAAUUUAUUUUAAUGAAAUUUUCUUCUUCAUAAAGUUAUAUUUAUUGCACUUUAUUCUUAGAUUCUAUAUUGAAUCUUAUUUAUUUAAGAUCUUAGAUUAGAUCUUAUUUAGUUUCAAGGGUUUGAUCGUGUGUCAAUCAUUUUCUACGCUACACGCUGCAUUAGGUAGUAUCAGAGCAGGGAUUUCACCGUCAUUACGAUGCAAUACAGGUGGUGGUGGUGGUGGUGGU